UACGUAGGCGGAAAAUUAAGUCAGUAGUGAAAUCCUGCAGCUUAACUGUAGAACUGUUAUUGAUACUGGUUUUCUUGAAUAUAGUUGAGGUAGGCGGAAUGUGUAAUGUAGCGGUGAAAUGCUUAGAUAUUACACAGAACACCGAUUGCGAAGGCAGCUUACUAAGCUAUGAUUGACGCUGAGGUACGAAAGCGUGGGGGACUAACAGGAUUAGAUACCCUGGUAGUCC
Molecule: ribosomal RNA, 229 nt
Filed under: uncultured bacterium
Lineage: Bacteria
Description: partial 16S ribosomal RNA
Rfam family: Bacterial small subunit ribosomal RNA
Source: RNAcentral